Non-coding RNA from Acanthosepion pharaonis, 89 nucleotides. Lineage: Eukaryota; Metazoa; Mollusca; Cephalopoda; Sepiida; Sepiidae. The record is from the annotation of a GenBank genome assembly.
AUCGGGUCUCGUACGAUCACUGAAGUUAAGCAACGUAGAACUGGGUCAGUACCUGUAUGGGUGACCGCUUGGGAAUAUCAGGUGCUAUA